GAUGAGAACGCAGCGAAAUGCGAUAAGUAAUGUGAAUUGCAGAAUUCAGUGAAUCAUCGAAUCUUUGAACGCACAUUGCGCCCGCCAGUAUUCUGGCGGGCAUGCCUGUUCGAGCGUCAUUUCAACCCUCAAGCCCAGCUUGGUGUUGGGGAUCGGCACAGGCGCCCUCGGGCGCCCGCCGUCCCCUAAAUCUAGUGGCGGUCCCGCUGCAGCCUCCUCUGCGUAGUAGUUUUCUCCUCGCAAGGGCAGCUCGGUGGCGACCUCGCCGUAAAACCCCCAACUUCUGAAAGGUUGACCUCGAAUCAGGUAGGAAUACCCGCUGAACUUAAGCAUAUCAAUAAGCGGAGGA
Molecule: unclassified non-coding RNA, 349 nt
Filed under: soil metagenome
Description: partial contains 5.8S ribosomal RNA, internal transcribed spacer 2, and large subunit ribosomal RNA
Rfam family: 5.8S ribosomal RNA (bases 5-119)
Source: RNAcentral